AUGUUAAUACUGCACUGUAUAGGUGACAGAAGUGAUUACUGUAUUUUUUUUCUGUGGCUGUUGAUAUAUGGACUUAACAAUAAGAUGGGACUUUGCGUUCCCCUGAGCAGUUCUAAAUUAUUUGCAUGUGCACAAAAUAUAUUUUUUCUGAAACAUUUUAUGUUUUCUGCCCAUGAAUUAAGCUUUUUUUUACACCCAUGCUUGUUUUUUGGCACCGCACUUCCUGAUAUUCAUACUUUGCAAAUAACACAUUUCUAUUCCCUGAAAGAGCCGAUUACUCAUAAAUUUACUAAUAUGGAGACCAGAUUGCUCAAACCAAAAAGCAGAAUAGGUGAUGUAUGUGUACGAGACACACGACUCUCAGAAUAA
RNAcentral lists this ribosomal RNA (369 nucleotides) under Triticum aestivum (bread wheat). Its description in RNAcentral is "partial small subunit ribosomal RNA". The record is from RNAcentral. Lineage: Eukaryota; Viridiplantae; Streptophyta; Magnoliopsida; Poales; Poaceae.